Rhodofomes roseus is the source of this 92-nucleotide non-coding RNA. The record is from the annotation of a RefSeq genome assembly. Lineage: Eukaryota; Fungi; Basidiomycota; Agaricomycetes; Polyporales; Fomitopsidaceae.
GGCCGACUAGCUCAGUUGGUUAGAGCGUGGUGCUAAUAAUAAUUGAUAAUUAUGUUACGCCAAGGUCGUCGGUUCGACCCCGGCGUUGGCCA